GACAGAGGGUGCAAACGUUGUUCGGAAUUACUGGGCGUAAAGCGCGUGUAGGCGGCAGGGCAUGUCGGAUGUGAAAUCCCGUGGCUCAACCACGGAAGUGCACCCGAAACUGCCCAGCUUGAGUCUCGGAGAGGAAGGCGGAAUGCUUGGUGUAGAGGUGAAAUUCGUAGAUAUUCGCAAGAACACCAGUGGCGAAGGCGGCUCACUGGCCCGGUACUGACGCUGAGGUGCGAAAGCGUGGGGAGCAAACAGG
RNAcentral lists this ribosomal RNA (253 nucleotides) under uncultured bacterium. RNAcentral describes it as "partial 16S ribosomal RNA". It matches the Rfam family "Bacterial small subunit ribosomal RNA", at positions 524 to 776 of the family's 1533-position model. The record is from RNAcentral.